AUAUGAAGGCGCUAUGGACUCUUCAGAACAGAAUAAUUUGGAAGUGUAAUGCUUUACUCUUUGUGAAGCCCAUUCUCUGAGACUUCAUCCUUAAAAACCUCCUACAUCAACUUGCUAGUCUUCUCCUGUUAUUCUUUGGUGGCCUUGGAAAUCACAUAAUUCCGGAUUGUGUCACUACAAGAUGAAAACACCUGCAUCCCUGAGUUUGGAGGAUAGUUGCCCAAUUGAGCCACAUGACCCAUAUCGGACUGUGCUGUGAAUGAGAAAUAAACGAUUCUGUUUCUGGAGUUUUGUGAACCACAAAGCAUGAUAUCCAACAGGGUGAUGGUGAAAUGGAAGGGAAAGAUCUCAUUGGUGGAAAAGCUAUA
This is a long non-coding RNA of Suricata suricatta (meerkat), 368 nucleotides long. RefSeq lists it as uncharacterized. The transcript has 3 exons. Lineage: Eukaryota; Metazoa; Chordata; Mammalia; Carnivora; Herpestidae. The record is from RefSeq and is a predicted model, not a curated record.